RNAcentral lists this transfer RNA (76 nucleotides) under Hyphomicrobiales bacterium. RNAcentral describes it as "Rhizobiales bacterium (sediment metagenome) tRNA-Arg". It matches the Rfam family "tRNA". From Rfam's summary of the family: Transfer RNA (tRNA) molecules are approximately 80 nucleotides in length. Their secondary structure includes four short double-helical elements and three loops (D, anti-codon, and T loops). Further hydrogen bonds mediate the characteristic L-shaped molecular structure. tRNAs have two regions of fundamental functional importance: the anti-codon, which is responsible for specific mRNA codon recognition, and the 3' end, to which the tRNAs corresponding amino acid is attached (by aminoacyl-tRNA synthetases). tRNAs cope with the degeneracy of the genetic code in two manners: having more than one tRNA (with a specific anti-codon) for a particular amino acid; and 'wobble' base-pairing, i.e. permitting non-standard base-pairing at the 3rd anti-codon position. The record is from RNAcentral. Lineage: Bacteria; Pseudomonadati; Pseudomonadota; Alphaproteobacteria; Hyphomicrobiales. RNAcentral also lists the same sequence under 2 other names.
GGCCCCGUAGCUCAGCGGAUAGAGCGGCAGAUUCCUAAUCUGUAGGUCGCAGGUUCAAGUCCUGCCGGGGUCGCCA